GAGAGGUGUUUGAACACCAAGAACUGCUAAUUCUUGUCCCUGAAGUUAAAAUCUGCAGACCUCUCA
This 66-nucleotide transfer RNA is filed under the name Liolaemus darwinii. Its description in RNAcentral is "tRNA-Ser". The record is from RNAcentral. Lineage: Eukaryota; Metazoa; Chordata; Lepidosauria; Squamata.